This 253-nucleotide unclassified non-coding RNA is filed under the name uncultured Flavobacteriaceae bacterium. RNAcentral's name for it is "contains 16S-23S intergenic spacer region". It matches the Rfam family "Bacterial small subunit ribosomal RNA", at positions 524 to 776 of the family's 1533-position model. Lineage: Bacteria; Pseudomonadati; Bacteroidota; Flavobacteriia; Flavobacteriales; Flavobacteriaceae. The record is from RNAcentral.
UACGGAGGAUCCAAGCGUUAUCCGGAAUCAUUGGGUUUAAAGGGUCCGUAGGUGGGUUAAUAAGUCAGUGGUGAAAGUCUGCAGCUCAACUGUAGAAUUGCCUUUGAUACUGGUUGUCUUGAGUCAUUAUGAAGUGGUUAGAAUAUGUAGUGUAGCGGUGAAAUGCAUAGAUAUUACAUAGAAUACCAAUUGCGAAGGCAGAUCACUAAUAAUUCACUGACGCUGAGGGACGAAAGCGUAGGUAGCGAACAGG